RNAcentral lists this ribosomal RNA (253 nucleotides) under uncultured bacterium. RNAcentral's name for it is "partial 16S ribosomal RNA". It matches the Rfam family "Bacterial small subunit ribosomal RNA", at positions 524 to 776 of the family's 1533-position model. The record is from RNAcentral.
GACGAACCGUGCGAACGUUGUUCGGAUUCACUGGGCUUAAAGGGCGCGUAGGCGGCUUGCCAAGUCAGGGGUGAAAUCCUUCGGCUCAACCGGAGAAGUGCUUCUGAUACUGGCGAGCUGGAGGGAGGUAGGGGCAGACGGAACUUCCGGUGGAGCGGUGAAAUUCGUAGAUAUUGGGAAGAACACCGGUGGCGAAGGCGGCUCACUGGCUCGUAACUGACGCUCAUGCACGACAGCGUGGGGAUCAAACAGG